RNAcentral lists this ribosomal RNA (347 nucleotides) under Macrochlamys sp. HC2507. RNAcentral describes it as "partial 16S rRNA". The record is from RNAcentral. Lineage: Eukaryota; Metazoa; Mollusca; Gastropoda; Stylommatophora; Ariophantidae.
ACUUUGACUGUGCUAAGGUAGCAUAAUAAAUUGACUCUUAAUUGGGGCCUAGAAUGAAUGGAUUUAUGGGUAGAUACUGUCUUUAAAAAUUUAAUAAAAGUUACUUAAAAGGUGAAAAUUCCUUUAAUAUAAUUUAUUAGACGAGAAGACCCUAGGAGUUUAAAUAUAUUUUGUUGGGGCGACAUUAUAGCAUAAAACCUAUAAAUUUUAAAAAUUAUAACGAAAAAUUUUAAUAUUAAUUAAACUACCCUAGGGAUAACAGCAUAAUUUUACUAAUAAGUUUGUGACCUCGAUGUUGGAUUAAGGACUUUAAAGUUAACAGCGUUAAAAGAUUGUUCUGUUCGAAC